This 497-nucleotide ribosomal RNA is filed under the name uncultured bacterium. RNAcentral's name for it is "partial 16S ribosomal RNA". It matches the Rfam family "Bacterial small subunit ribosomal RNA", at positions 28 to 507 of the family's 1533-position model. The record is from RNAcentral.
GAUGAACGCUGGCGGCGUGCCUAAUACAUGCAAGUCGAGCGAACAGACGAGGAGCUUGCUCCUCUGACGUUAGCGGCGGACGGGUGAGUAACACGUGGAUAACCUACCUAUAAGACUGGGAUAACUUCGGGAAACCGGAGCUAAUACCGGAUAAUAUAUUGAACCGCAUGGUUCAAUAGUGAAAGACGGUUUUGCUGUCACUUAUAGAUGGAUCCGCGCCGCAGUAGCUAGUUGGUAAGGUAACGGCUUACCAAGGCGACGAUGCGUAGCCGACCUGAGAGGGUGAUCGGCCACACUGGAACUGAGACACGGUCCAGACUCCUACGGGAGGCAGCAGUAGGGAAUCUUCCGCAAUGGGCGAAUGCCUGACGGAGCAACGCCGCGUGAGUGAUGAAGGUCUUCGGAUCGUAAAACUCUGUUAUUAGGGAAGAACAAAUGUGUAAGUAACUAUGCACGUCUUGACGGUACCUAAUCAGAAAGCCACGGCUAACUACGUG